RNAcentral lists this ribosomal RNA (491 nucleotides) under uncultured bacterium. Its description in RNAcentral is "partial 16S ribosomal RNA". It matches the Rfam family "Bacterial small subunit ribosomal RNA", at positions 29 to 507 of the family's 1533-position model. The record is from RNAcentral.
AGUGAACGCUGGCGGUAGGCCUAACACAUGCAAGUCGAACGGCAGCACAGUAAGAGCUUGCUCUUACGGGUGGCGAGUGGCGGACGGGUGAGGAAUACAUCGGAAUCUACUUUUUCGUGGGGAUAACGUAGGUAAACUUACGCUAAUACCGCAUACGACCUACGGGUGAAAGCAGGGGAUCUUCGGACCUUGCGCGAUUGAAUGAGCCGAUGUCGGAUUAGCUAGUUGGCGGGGUAAAGGCCCACCAAGGCGACGAUCCGUAGCUGGUCUGAGAGGAUGAUCGGCCACACUGGAACUGAGACACGGUCCAGACUCCUACGGGAGGCAGCAGUGGGGAAUAUUGGACAAUGGGCGCAAGCCUGAUCCAGCCAUACCGCGUGGGUGAAGAAGGCCUUCGGGUUGUAAAGCCCUUUUGUUGGGAAAGAAAAGCAGCAGGUUAAUACCCCGCUGUUCUGACGGUACCCAAAGAAUAAGCACCGGCUAACUUCGUG